GCCGUAUUUGGGAAACAGGCUAGAGCAGACAGAAUAUCUGCAACUGCAUUUCAAAACCUGUUUGAUGUAAACUCUGCAGGAAACCAGAUUAGGAAGCAUUUUCUUUAAAAUUUCCAUUCCAACAGUUAGCUCAAACCUAUCUGACAACAUAGGACUUGGAAUUUAAGAUAAAACAUAAAAAUGUGCAACCAUUGAGUGAAGCACAGGAAAAGUUCUGCCCCAGCUGAAAAACAGACUGCCUUUUUAGAAACUGAUAUCAGGUGAAACUAGUUGA
Molecule: non-coding RNA, 274 nt
Organism: Pelobates cultripes (western spadefoot toad)
Lineage: Eukaryota; Metazoa; Chordata; Amphibia; Anura; Pelobatidae
Source: the annotation of a GenBank genome assembly